AUCACACGGUAUAGCUGACUGAUAUAAAUCCUGAAACCAAAUUUCAGAAAUCCUUGUAUUGUAGUUCCUGAGAAAAAUGUGACGAAAAUUUUCAACUUGGCUAUCAUGUGUAAAAUCAGACAAGUGUUCGGUAAACAGGAAGUUGUCAAGUGAUGAAUCUGAAAACGUAUCACACGGUAUGGCUGACAUAUAUAAAUGUUGAUACCAAAUUACAGAAAGGGUGGAUGUGUAGUUCCUGAGAAAAAUGUGACGAAAGUUUCAUGGGACGGACUGACUGACGGACGGACUGACGGACGGACGGACUGACAGACAGAGGUAAAACAGUAUACCCCCCCUUUUUUAAAGCGGGGGUAUAAAAAUAUGUUCAAACUAAGGGUACACAUUAAAAAUAAAAAAAAUCCUGUGUAUAAUGAGACAGAUUUAAUGGUUAUCACAUGACUACAAUAUGAUAUAAUGAUUUCAUAAAAAUAUCAACAUACUGAAUAAAUCAUUCAUCAAUGAGAUACAUACCAUACUACCAUACUUAUCAUGUACUAAUUGUUUAAAAAAACACACCGACAUUAUAACACAGUACAAAACUAAAUCAUCGAACAAACUUAUCAUGUACUAAGUGUUUAAAAAAACACACCAACAUUACAACACACAAACAACCUGAAUAUGCUUGUGGUAUCUAGUAAGAGAAGCCCAUUGAUCUCCAAUUUUAAAGACUUUUGGUGGUCAUUAUGCAGUAUAAUUCUUUUGGGUACAUAGUCACAAUUAAUACCCUGCUUCUAAAGACUUUAAUUUUUAUGACAAAUUUCAAUUGUUUCCUUUGGAAGAGGCAAUAAUUCAUAUUGGAUUGUAAAUUCCUAUUCCUGUGUAUUCAAUUUGAAUUAAUGGGAGUCAAACCCUGUACAAGUAUUUUAAACUUUUAGAUGGUACUCAGCUAAACCAUAUCCACUUUAAAACGUUUUAUAAAUAAUUUCCAAAAAUAUAUUGAACCUACUAUCAUGACUAUCUUACCUUUUAACAAUAACGAAAACAUAAAACAUAGCACCAACUAACCGUUUAAUAAAAGAGAAACAACUAUGGAAAGGGUUUCAAAUCUUCUACUGGAACUUAUUUGAUUGGCUGGGUAAUGACACUUACUCGAUAUUGACAAACACACUUUUUCUUUUCAAUGAAGAACACACUUCCAUUUACCAUUAAACAAAACGUUUAUUGCACACAAUAAACUUUAGUUAUUGUGUUCCUUUUAAAGCAUGUAUAAUCUUCCUUUUAUCUUAAUCUGACAUUAUGCUUUCUACACGCUAAGAAAACCACUUUUAAAUAAUUUAUCUUAGUUUUCUUUGUUUCACUAUAAAUUAAAACAUAUAUUCAGGGUCAACUUUAAAUCAUGCUGACCUUUAAUUCUUUGUACUGCUUCAAACAUGUUUAAUUUUUACACUACUCAUCAAUGAUCAUGCUCCCACAUUUUCAUUCAACCAAUCCUACAUUUGACAACACUAAAAUUAAUACAUAUAAUAUUAUUCAACUUAUAACAUUUAAUGUAAAAAACUAUUCCUCUGUGAUUGAUAAUUAUAAUAACAAUUUCACUAAAAGAAUAUCAAACCUUAUAAC
This 1599-nucleotide long non-coding RNA is filed under the name Mytilus galloprovincialis (Mediterranean mussel). The record is from RNAcentral. Lineage: Eukaryota; Metazoa; Mollusca; Bivalvia; Mytilida; Mytilidae.